Molecule: long non-coding RNA, 1703 nt
Organism: Patella vulgata (common limpet)
Lineage: Eukaryota; Metazoa; Mollusca; Gastropoda; Patellidae
Exons: 3
Source: RefSeq, a predicted model, not a curated record
UGUACCCGUGUUUGGUCUCUACAAGUUAUAUAGAGGAAACGUAAUCCCAGAAGAUGUAUAUAUUGUCAAGCGGCAUACAGUCAUAACCCGGACCCAGUGCGCAUUAAUUUGUUUUAAUACACCAACCUCGUGCCGAUCAUUCGCCUACCACUCUAUAAAUAAAGAGUGCUGUGAGCUAUCCCAGAGUUUCAUACCAAUACACAAACCAACAACGGGCGUUGGCUCGGAAUACUGGAGAGUUUGUUCACGGAGAGAUUCGUGUAUAGAAGAUGAAAUAGAUGGAAGGUGUUUUUGUCUAAAGAAAAAACUACGAAAAGUGAACAAUGCUAAAACUUACUGCGAAUCACGGGGCGGUAAUCUAGCCAUAUUAAACACCACCAAUUCAUUUGAACGUGUUGAAAGCCUAUUGUUAGAAGAGGGAAAAGAUCUUACAAAUGUAGCAAUUGGUGCCAAUGAUGACGCUGAAGAGGGCAUUUUUCAAUGGAAUGAUGGCACACCAGUAAAUACUUUUGGUAAAUUGGAAAUAAAACUAAAUGGCCCUGGUGAUAUAGAGAACUGUCUAUCAGUAAAGUUGAGGAAACCUGAUUUCAUAUAUGAUGAUAUAAAUUGUGAUAUUGAUCUGUUUCCUUUUAUUUGUGAAAUGAAAAUGUAACCGACUGAUCUACAAUUUCCAGCUAAAAAAUAUUAAAGUUAACCAAUAAUGUUAACGGAGAGGGGUUGUACAUAGGCUAAAUCUGUCCCCCCAUUCCCAAUUAGAUAUCCUGAAUAAAAAUAUUGUUUAGAAAACUUUAAAUUUAUCAAUAUAUAAUACUUACAUCAAAAUAAAGAGUUGAUAUAUUUCUAUCGAUUUCUGAUGGCAUAUGUUCCCUCCGAUUUUACAGAUAUUUCUAUAUUAAAUGAUUUAAUUCCGUUUUGUUUUAAUGUCGAUUGUUUAUAAGGGCAUUAUGGAUGAUUAGAUAACGAUAAUAGUUAAAAACUAGAUAAUGUAAAGGGAACAUGCUGACAAUUUCAGUCAAAUUGCUCCACUCUGAACCGAGAUAUUAGCGGCUGAAUGUUAGGCCUACCCUUGAUUAGUAUUGCUAAACUCGGUACGAUAAAAAAACCCAAACAUAGUCUCGAUUAUCCAUUUUUGCAUUUAUUCAUCAAUGAGCGUUGAGUAGCAGAUCGAAUUCAAACCCAGUGAAAAUCGAAUACAUAAGAUGGCAUCGAGGGUUAAUUAUGAUCCGGUACGUUGGUACACACAAACUAUAAACAAAGUGUUUUAACUAUUUCUGGAAUAAUAUCACCUUUUUCAGCGCGUUUGCCUGCCUUUAGUAUAGACAUUGCUAUCUGUAUUUCUGAAACUGUAAUUUCAUUAUCAAGGUAGGGGACGCCAUUAUGAUAUAGUAUAUAAAUAUAGGUUUUUUUUUUCAUUUAUAAAUGAAGUGCCAUGAGAUUGAAAAACAUUCUUAAAAUUUAUGUUCAUUGAAAUCAGACAGAUUCAGCUGGGAGGAAUGCUGUGGUGCAUCUAUACCAUUUUUUUUAUAAAGUUGCAUGUUUCUCCAGAAUCCUAUAGGGCUGUAGCAUUUUUAUAUAACUUUAGACCAGACCUGUAUCUGUACAAUAUGGUAGCAUGCUUUUUUUAAAUAGGGGUAUAUUUAUAUAAGCUCGGCUGUGGUCAGUUUCUGCUUCAAUAAAAUAUUUGCAUUCUUUAUAAAUUCAUU